Molecule: ribosomal RNA, 951 nt
Filed under: Triticum aestivum (bread wheat)
Lineage: Eukaryota; Viridiplantae; Streptophyta; Magnoliopsida; Poales; Poaceae
Description: partial small subunit ribosomal RNA
Source: RNAcentral
AUGCCAGUCGAUCCAAGAUUAAGGACAGACAGAUUGCUUAGUUUUGCUAUGUGGGAGCCAUCAAUAACUCCUUGCAAGAAAUUGUUGGGUAAGGAGAGCUGCUCCAGUGAGGUAGCAUUGAAGAGUUCCGGCGGGAGAGCUCCACUGAGGCUGUUGUGUCCAACCUUGAGCACUUUCAGCAUGGAGCAACUGCCAAGCCCUGGGGGAAUGUUGCCACUGAGUUGGUUGAAACAAAGGUCAAGCAUAUCAAAUAAGGGGGCGUUGGUGCAGAUAGAAGAUGGUAUUUGUCCUGUGAAGGUGUUGUUGCUCGCAUUAAGAGCAACCAGAUUCUUCAUGGCCUCCCAUGUCACGGAUGGAAACUGUCCUGUAAACAAAUUGCUUGAGAUAUUCAGCACCUGGAGAGGAAGGCCGGUAUCUGAGGAUCGCAGCUCCUGCAGACGACCAUCCAGGCGGUUGAAGCUGACGUCGAGGACAAUAAUGCUUCUGGAGAACACCAAUUCCGUCGGUAGACCGCCUUCAAGCGAAUUAUGGGACAGGUUCAGGCGCAGCAGGCCAGGAAGAUCACCGAGGUUUGGCGAGACGCCCCCUCUGAGACCUCUGGAAGCCAACGAGACAUCGGUGACCGUGCCGUCGCCGCUGCAGAGGACGCCAUCCCAUUGGCAGCAGUCCGUGCCGUUCACCCACGACACGUUGAGACUGCCGCUGCCACCCGGCACAAGCCCGCCCAGGAAGCCGAGGAGGGCGCCCCUCUCCUGCUCCGUGCAGGAGCUGGUCGGGGAGGCGAAGGAGAACAGGAGGGCAGCGACAAGGCCAACGAACGGCAGGGACGAUUUGGUGGUGUAUCUGCUGCUGCUGCUACGGCUUGAUGAGCUGAGCGGCUGCAUGGUCCUCUCUCAUGAAACUCGCGUGCCGCAAGGGCUGCUUUGCGCUACUCGGACCCUGAUUGCCUAG